GAUGAACGCUAGCGGCAGGCCUAACACAUGCAAGUCGAGGGAGAAGCCCUUCGGGGCAGAAACCGGCGCACGGGUGCGUAACGCGUAUGCAACCUACCUUUCACAGGGGGAUAGCCCGAAGAAAUUUGGAUUAAUACCCCAUAAUAUUAUUGAUGGCAUCAUUUGAUAAUUAAAAUUACGAUGGUGAAAGAUGGGCAUGCGUCCUAUUAGCUAGUUGGAGUGGUAACGGCACCCCAAGGCUACGAUAGGUAGGGGUCCUGAGAGGGAGAUCCCCCACACUGGUACUGAGACAGGGACCAGACUCCUACGGGAGGCAGCAGUGAGGAAUAUUGGUCAAUGGUCGGAAGACUGAACCAGCCAUGCCGCGUGCAGGAAGAAUGCCUUAUGGGUUGUAAACUGCUUUUAUAUGGGAAGAAUAAGGUGUACGUGUACAUUGAUGACGGUACCAUAUGAAUAAGCAUCGCA
Molecule: ribosomal RNA, 465 nt
Filed under: Capnocytophaga granulosa
Lineage: Bacteria; Pseudomonadati; Bacteroidota; Flavobacteriia; Flavobacteriales; Flavobacteriaceae
Description: bacterial SSU rRNA
Rfam family: Bacterial small subunit ribosomal RNA
Source: RNAcentral